RNAcentral lists this ribosomal RNA (301 nucleotides) under uncultured bacterium. RNAcentral's name for it is "partial 16S ribosomal RNA". It matches the Rfam family "Bacterial small subunit ribosomal RNA", at positions 509 to 807 of the family's 1533-position model. The record is from RNAcentral.
CAGCAGCCACGGUAAUACGUAGGGCGCAAGCGUUGUCCGGAAUUAUUGGGCGUAAAGAGCUCGUAGGCGGUCUGUCGCGUCUGGUGUGAAAUCCCGAGGCUCAACCUCGGGCUUGCAUCGGGUACGGGCAGACUAGAGUGCGGUAGGGGAGACUGGAAUUCCUGGUGUAGCGGUGGAAUGCGCAGAUAUCAGGAGGAACACCGAUGGCGAAGGCAGGUCUCUGGGCCGCAACUGACGCUGAGGAGCGAAAGCAUGGGGAGCGAACAGGAUUAGAUACCCGCGUAGUCCCUGUCUCUUAUAC